RNAcentral lists this unclassified non-coding RNA (337 nucleotides) under soil metagenome. Its description in RNAcentral is "partial contains 5.8S ribosomal RNA, internal transcribed spacer 2, and large subunit ribosomal RNA". The stretch from base 1 to 120 matches the Rfam family "5.8S ribosomal RNA", at positions 35 to 154 of the family's 154-position model. The record is from RNAcentral.
GAUGAAGAACGUAGCGAAAUGCGAUAAGUAGUGUGAAUUGCAGAAUUCAGUGAAUCAUCGAAUCUUUGAACGCACAUUGCGCCCCUUGGUAUUCCAUGGGGCAUGCCUGUUCGAGCGUCAUUUGUACCUUCAAGCUCUGCUUGGUGUUGGGUGUUUGUCUCGCCUCUGCGUGUAGACUCGCCUUAAAACAAUUGGCAGCCGGCGUAUUGAUUUCGGAGCGCAGUACAUCUCGCGCUUUGCACUCACAACGACGACGUCCAAAAGUACAUUUUUACACUCUUGACCUCGGAUCAGGUAGGGAUACCCGCUGAACUUAAGCAUAUCAAUAAGCGGAGGA